RNAcentral lists this transfer RNA (72 nucleotides) under Stegodyphus mimosarum. It matches the Rfam family "tRNA". From Rfam's summary of the family: Transfer RNA (tRNA) molecules are approximately 80 nucleotides in length. Their secondary structure includes four short double-helical elements and three loops (D, anti-codon, and T loops). Further hydrogen bonds mediate the characteristic L-shaped molecular structure. tRNAs have two regions of fundamental functional importance: the anti-codon, which is responsible for specific mRNA codon recognition, and the 3' end, to which the tRNAs corresponding amino acid is attached (by aminoacyl-tRNA synthetases). tRNAs cope with the degeneracy of the genetic code in two manners: having more than one tRNA (with a specific anti-codon) for a particular amino acid; and 'wobble' base-pairing, i.e. permitting non-standard base-pairing at the 3rd anti-codon position. The record is from Rfam by way of RNAcentral. Lineage: Eukaryota; Metazoa; Arthropoda; Arachnida; Araneae; Eresidae.
GCCUUCGUGGUGUAACUGUUAACACACUCGGCUCGUAUUCGAGAGGUCCAGGAUUGAGUCUCGACGAGGACA